RNAcentral lists this ribosomal RNA (244 nucleotides) under uncultured bacterium. RNAcentral's name for it is "partial 16S ribosomal RNA". It matches the Rfam family "Bacterial small subunit ribosomal RNA", at positions 796 to 1041 of the family's 1533-position model. The record is from RNAcentral.
CACGCUGUAAACGAUGAGUGCUCGAUGUUGGGGGUUAAAACCCAGUGUUGACGUUAACACGAUAAGCACUCCGCCUGGGGAGUACGGUCGCAAGAUUAAAACUCAAAGAAAUUGACGGGGACCCGCACAAGCGGUGGAGUAUGUGGUUUAAUUCGAAGCUACGCGAAGAACCUUACCAACUCUUGACAUAUAGAGCGCGGGUAUCAGAGAUGAUACCUUCAUUUAGUUGGUUUUAUACAGGUGC